RNAcentral lists this ribosomal RNA (637 nucleotides) under Sphingobacterium sp. A23MT11. RNAcentral describes it as "bacterial SSU rRNA". It matches the Rfam family "Bacterial small subunit ribosomal RNA", at positions 161 to 797 of the family's 1533-position model. The record is from RNAcentral. Lineage: Bacteria; Pseudomonadati; Bacteroidota; Sphingobacteriia; Sphingobacteriales; Sphingobacteriaceae.
GAUUAACACCGCAUAACAUCACUUACAGCAUUUUAGAGUGAUCAAAUAUUUAUAGGAUUAAGAUGGGCAUGCGGAACAUUAGCUAGUUGGUAAGGUAAUGGCUUACCAAGGCUACGAUGUUUAGGGGAUCUGAGAGGAUGACCCCCCACACUGGUACUGAGACACGGACCAGACUCCUACGGGAGGCAGCAGUAAGGAAUAUUGGUCAAUGGGCGCAAGCCUGAACCAGCCAUGCCGCGUGCAGGAAGACGGCCCUACGGGUUGUAAACUGCUUUUGUACCGGAAUAAACCUUUUCACGUGUGRGAAGCUGAAUGUACGGUAAGAAUAAGGAUCGGCUAACUCCGUGCCAGCAGCCGCGGUAAUACGGAGGAUCCAAGCGUUAUCCGGAUUUAUUGGGUUUAAAGGGUGCGUAGGCGGUUCAUUAAGUCAGGGGUGAAAGACGGUAGCUUAACUAUCGCAGUGCCUUUGAUACUGAAGAACUUGAAWACACUUGAGGUAGGCGGAAUGUGACAAGUAGCGGUGAAAUGCAUAGAUAUGGCACAGAACACCAAUUGCGAAGGCAGCUUACUAAAGUGUUAUUGACGCUGAGGCACGAAAGCGUGGGGAUCAGACAAGAUUAGAUACCCUGGUAGUCCA